This 22-nucleotide microRNA is filed under the name Amborella trichopoda. Its description in RNAcentral is "atr-miR2111". Lineage: Eukaryota; Viridiplantae; Streptophyta; Magnoliopsida; Amborellales; Amborellaceae. The record is from miRBase by way of RNAcentral.
UAAUCUGUAUCUUGAGGUUUGG